Molecule: long non-coding RNA, 1927 nt
Organism: Micropterus dolomieu (smallmouth bass)
Lineage: Eukaryota; Metazoa; Chordata; Actinopteri; Centrarchiformes; Centrarchidae
Exons: 2
Source: RefSeq, a predicted model, not a curated record
UCCAAAGUAUGGGAUUAUUUCAAGCUAAAGAAAACUCUGUAAUGUUACCGUCCAUCCAACGUAAAACAAAACUUAUGCCGCCUCAGCAACAGCACGACGGGACCUGAUCAGAAAGCCCCGAACUGCACCUUUUAACUCACCUCCAGCUCUCUCUGUAGCUCAAACAAUCCUCCCAGAUUCUUUGUCUUUAUAGUUGCCAUCUUUAUAAUAACAAACAGCUGUUUCGUGUGCAGGAUCGCUCAGUUCCCGUUUCUCAUUUCCCGUAUGUUUUCUUGACAAAUGUGGUUUGGAGACCAGCAUUGGGUGACACAGCCGCUAUCAGCUCCUGUAGUGUGUGACCCCCUGUCACCGAUCAGUCACGUAGUGUGAACACCUAUAACCUAUAACUUGUACUCGGGUGAUGUUUUUGUUUGUAAAGCAGCAGUCUGGUUGUUGGUCUGAUGUUUGCUGUAUGACACUAUGAAUUUCCGAGCAAAAGUACUUCUUAAACGACGCAUCACUGAUUCAUUGAAAUAAUCUAUAGAUGCUUUGAAUACGAAAAUCAUCGUUAGCUGCAGCCCUAGUUGAAUUAAGAAGAGAAGAAGUCUGUGUUAGUGUGUUUGGUAGGUGGGAUGGAAGUGUGGACUGGAGUGAGGUGGAGUGAGAUGGAGUGAGACGGUGGGAGCAAGAAAAGUUGUGGAACAGCAAAUUUGCAGUAAGCUAAUGAGUGUACCAAGGGGCACAUUAGUUAUUUAUUUCCUGAGCUUGUUUCGUUAAGAGAAGGGCACAGCAAUUAGCUUUGAGGAGAUGACAUCCCUAAGCGCCCUUGUGCUCGGCUGCGAGGCAACACAAGAGCCCUGUCUGAAAUGCUAAACAACCUGUAGGGUCUGGUGUGAGGGGGACGGGAAAUAGCGUCACACAUGUGACCUGGCAUCUCUAAAGCAGCGUGGCCACCUGGAGCUAAAUUAUGUGGGAGUGAGAGAAAGAGAUAGUGGCUGGCUUGAAAUCCACCGCAGCUGAAAAAGAGAAAGGUUAUGUGGAUGGUGACUCAGCUUUGCAUAUGAAACAGAGUCUGACAUUAUUUUUUCUCAUUUUUACAUUUUUCUCUCUCUUCAAAUCUUUAAAUGAAUCUGAGUUCAGUUGAGAAAAAACGCAAUUAUGUUUUCUAUUAGCCUGUGACUUUUAUUUUCUUAGCAAUGAAGAAAACUAUUAGUGCAGUCUUUUAGAUUGCAAUUACUGGCUCCAGAAAAAAUAUAUAUUGCGAUCAAUAAUAUGUCAUUAAAGGAAAAGAUGAGGUUUGAGGAAUGAAAGUAACAGAGCCGGAGCUGCAACAGUAUGUGUAAGGUCCCAUUUUCAAGCAAGCCCUUAGACACCAAGGCACAUACACACGCACAUUUCCCCAAAAUGCACUGUCGUCAGGUCCAUCUUGUGAAUGCCAUCAAUAAAUAAUCUGACUCUUUUUUUAACGCAUUUUUAAGAAUACCAGGUGAUGAUAUUUUUCAAAGGGAACACAUUCAGUGCACCUGCUGAUACACACAGAAUAUGCCAACAUAAAAAAAGAUCAAAGGAAAACGCCUCUUGUCUUCCACAACAGAAAUUCCUAUUUGUGCACCUUCAUUAAAGGAGGCGAUGUGCUCCAAACAAGAGAGGAUGGAGCCUCGUUUGAAAUGUCAGCCUUCUAAGAUAUUAAUUGGAGCUGAGGCCCUCCAAUCAAGAGAACAAAACAGUGUGUCCACAGAGUCAUAAAAAUAAAGGAAGAAAAACUCUGGCCUCAUUACCAACUUUUACCAAGCAUGCAGAAUGCAGCAGUGCCUGGAGGAAGUGGAUUGCACACACGCUGAAAUUAAACAGCCUGACACAAACUCUGAGAAUUACCUGGACAAACAAAUGUACAGGCUUCUUGUGCUUACAGGUAAACUUUUAUGCGUGCUGAUUAAAAAUGAUCUAU